CGCUCGUUNCGGGACUUAACCCAACAUCUCNCGACACAAACUAACGACAGCCAUGCAGCACCUGUUCUAGNGCCAGCNGAAGGAAGGUCAUCGUAUCCAAUGACCNUAC
RNAcentral lists this ribosomal RNA (109 nucleotides) under uncultured bacterium. Its description in RNAcentral is "partial 16S ribosomal RNA". The record is from RNAcentral.